This 274-nucleotide ribosomal RNA is filed under the name uncultured prokaryote. RNAcentral's name for it is "partial 16S ribosomal RNA". It matches the Rfam family "Bacterial small subunit ribosomal RNA", at positions 524 to 798 of the family's 1533-position model. The record is from RNAcentral.
UACGUAGGGGGCGAGCGUUGUCCGGAUUUACUGGGCGUAAAGGGUGAGUAGGCGGUUGUAUAUGUCAGGUGUAAAAGGCUAUGGCUUAACCAUGGUUAGCACUUGAAACUGUACAACUUGAGUGCAGGAGAGGUAAGUGGAAUUCCUAGUGUAGCGGUGAAAUGCGUAGAUAUUAGGAGGAACUCCAGUGGCGAAGGCGACUUACUGGACUGUAACUGACGCUGAGUCACGAAAGCGUGGGUAGCAAACAGGAUUAGAUACCCUGGUAGUCCCU